Molecule: non-coding RNA, 87 nt
Organism: Pristionchus pacificus
Lineage: Eukaryota; Metazoa; Nematoda; Chromadorea; Rhabditida; Neodiplogasteridae
Source: Rfam
CUAGUCGAUCCUCUUUCCCAUUCACUCUUCUCGUCAGUCGAUGAUUGAAUAUCGAAUGACAGAUCAGUGCGCGAGAAGGAAGACUAG